RNAcentral lists this transfer RNA (76 nucleotides) under bacterium. RNAcentral describes it as "tRNA-Thr". It matches the Rfam family "tRNA". Rfam says of the family: Transfer RNA (tRNA) molecules are approximately 80 nucleotides in length. The record is from RNAcentral.
GCCGGUAUAGCUCAGUGGCAGAGCAAGACCGUUGUAUCGUCUGUUGUCGUGGGUUCGAGUCCUACUACCGGCUCCA